Tarenaya hassleriana is the source of this 277-nucleotide long non-coding RNA. RefSeq lists it as uncharacterized. NCBI's taxonomy places the organism in Eukaryota, Viridiplantae, Streptophyta, Magnoliopsida, Brassicales, Cleomaceae. The record is from RefSeq and is a predicted model, not a curated record. The transcript is spliced from 3 exons.
UUCGUUUCCCAGAGACUCCUCCAUCACAGCCUUUCUUUAGCUCCUGACUAUCACUCAAUCUUAUGUCUUUUGGUUUGCGAUAAUUUUGAUCGAAUUAAGCGAAGGAACCACCAUCUAAACAACCCACAAACCCCCCAAGAAGCAAAGGAGUUCAACUGUCGUGAGCAGUAGUAGCCGAGGAGCGGACAUCGGAGACCUGGACAGCUUACCACUACCGAUCAUGUAUAAUUACGUAUUUUGAUACACUUAUAUUCUGGGAAACAGUUUGUGUUAUAUC